Molecule: unclassified non-coding RNA, 240 nt
Filed under: Hevea brasiliensis (rubber tree)
Lineage: Eukaryota; Viridiplantae; Streptophyta; Magnoliopsida; Malpighiales; Euphorbiaceae
Source: RNAcentral
GUUUAUAGAUGGUUGUAUCCUUAUCAAACUUCAGUAUAUAAGCUUGAUUGCAGCCUUCGUAGAGUCUUUCGCCUAAGGUAUCGAUGAUGUAGUAAGCUUCAGCUUCAACCUUCAGGACAAAGAAAUGAUCGUUCCAGCUGACGAUAUAGAUUUGUGGUUCACCCAUAGAAGUAUACUGUAAUCCAGCACGGCUAAUUUCAUCCCAGAUAUUGUCAAAUGACAUGGCACCAUGCAAGAAAU